This 749-nucleotide long non-coding RNA is filed under the name Homo sapiens (human). RNAcentral describes it as "non-protein coding lnc-IGSF11-3:1". The record is from RNAcentral. Lineage: Eukaryota; Metazoa; Chordata; Mammalia; Primates; Hominidae.
GAGGGAAAGCGGUCUACUCACAGCGCCUCCUCUUUCUGCGCACACGGUAGGGCCCGCUCCGCAGUCUGCACCCGACCCAGUCAGCAUCAUCUCUGUUGCAGGUUAGGUUGUUCAGGAGCAGACUUUGAGACAAAAUUUAGUGUGCAAUAUAUUUAUUAGACAGUGCCCUGAGAUUAACACCCAUGGCAGGGAGAGGGGAGAAACAGUUAAUUUAUUUCUAACUCUCUUCUGCUAAUCUUCCUUUCUCUCUGGCUAGGUGGCUCCCUUACCCACAUCUUAACCUGAUUCCAAGCUCAUCAGUGAAUUCUCAUUACUAAUAUCUCACUUCUGUUAGAAACACUUAGAUAUUUUCUUCCUAUCACCACAAUUCAAACUACAGACUCCAGUAGUUUUGGGGAGAAGUUGAGGUCUUUAAUAACCCCCCAACUCCCUGUGUAUGUUCAUUUGAGAGGGAGAGUAGGGGAAAUAGGAGAAUAAUUCUCCUGGAACAUUGAAACAUUUAUUUUCCUUUUAUAUUCGACAUAGCCAUCCACGUCCUCUUUCAGUUUUACUCCAAAAGGGCCAGUUCUAAGAUGCCUCUUUCUCUUCUGCUUGAUGGUAAGUUCCACCCAGAUUUUUUAGUGUUUACUCCUGGCCUGGGACUACUUCCUUCCACUUAGGGACUAAGAGCUGAAUACACUUUUAGCUGAUUGGUCUUCUAUAUUAGAUAGCUCUUUCAGUAGACAGCCUGAGUCAUUGCAUAUGAAGCU